RNAcentral lists this transfer RNA (71 nucleotides) under Bos taurus (domestic cattle). It matches the Rfam family "tRNA". Rfam says of the family: Transfer RNA (tRNA) molecules are approximately 80 nucleotides in length. Their secondary structure includes four short double-helical elements and three loops (D, anti-codon, and T loops). RNAcentral also lists the same sequence under 4 other names. The record is from Rfam by way of RNAcentral. Lineage: Eukaryota; Metazoa; Chordata; Mammalia; Artiodactyla; Bovidae.
UCCCUGGUGGUCCAGUGAGUAAGACUCUGCUUCCAAUGCAGAGGGCCUGGGUUCAAGCCCUGGUCAGGGAA